AUACGUAGGAUCCAAGCGUUGUCCGGAUUUACUGGGCGUAAAGGGUGUGUAGGCGGUAUGGUAAGUCUCAUGUGAAAUCUCCCGGCUCAACUGGGAGCGGUCAUGGGAUACUGUCAAACUCGAGGGCAGCAGAGGAGAGCGGAAUUCCGGGAGUAGUGGUGAAAUGCGUAGAUACCCGGAGGAACACCCGUGGCGAAAGCGGCUCUCUGGGCUGUACCUGACGCUGAUACACGAAAGCGUGGGGAGCAAACCGGAUUAGAAACCCUUGUAGUCC
RNAcentral lists this ribosomal RNA (274 nucleotides) under uncultured bacterium. Its description in RNAcentral is "partial 16S ribosomal RNA". It matches the Rfam family "Bacterial small subunit ribosomal RNA", at positions 523 to 796 of the family's 1533-position model. The record is from RNAcentral.